This 74-nucleotide transfer RNA is filed under the name Hyphomonadaceae bacterium. RNAcentral describes it as "tRNA-Gln". It matches the Rfam family "tRNA". From Rfam's summary of the family: Transfer RNA (tRNA) molecules are approximately 80 nucleotides in length. Their secondary structure includes four short double-helical elements and three loops (D, anti-codon, and T loops). Further hydrogen bonds mediate the characteristic L-shaped molecular structure. tRNAs have two regions of fundamental functional importance: the anti-codon, which is responsible for specific mRNA codon recognition, and the 3' end, to which the tRNAs corresponding amino acid is attached (by aminoacyl-tRNA synthetases). tRNAs cope with the degeneracy of the genetic code in two manners: having more than one tRNA (with a specific anti-codon) for a particular amino acid; and 'wobble' base-pairing, i.e. permitting non-standard base-pairing at the 3rd anti-codon position. The record is from RNAcentral. Lineage: Bacteria; Pseudomonadati; Pseudomonadota; Alphaproteobacteria; Hyphomonadales; Hyphomonadaceae.
UGGGGUAUAGCCAAGCGGUAAGGCAGCGGUUUUUGGUAUCGCGAUCCCUGGUUCGAAUCCAGGUACCCCAGCCA